Pomacea canaliculata is the source of this 460-nucleotide long non-coding RNA. RefSeq lists it as uncharacterized. The transcript has 3 exons. Lineage: Eukaryota; Metazoa; Mollusca; Gastropoda; Architaenioglossa; Ampullariidae. The record is from RefSeq and is a predicted model, not a curated record.
AUGAGGUAUGCCUGCAGUUCUUGCUGUAUCGAGUUACCUCCAAGUUGUAACACACUCCUCGACAUGACACCUUUCAGCAUGUUCAGACCUGGGGGAACUGUGCUAACGAUGACAUCUACCUGCAACAGGUGUACAUAUGAUGCUUUUGCGAUUUCUCCAGAGAUGAUUCUGAUCGUCGGGCGCGAUUUGUGUUGGAGCUGUCUGCCCUGGGGUGGAGAUGAACCUGUGAUAUGAGCGAGUUGCCCGGCAUUUUAGUUUUGAAGCAAGAUCCUGUAAAAUUUUGACAAGAAAAUGUCUUUGAUGACACACGUCCAACGUUUUUCAAAACUCAAAGAAAAACUGUGAAUUUUGGCCACAUAUCAAACAUAACCUAUACUGAACUUGUUCAUGUUCAGUAACCCGUUUGUGACAUCACCCACAAGCUUUAAACUUGAGAUCUAGAGUUAAGCCAUUUCGAGCA